CCUACGGGUGGCUGCAGUGGGGAAUAUUGGACAAUGGGCGAAAGCCUGAUCCAGCCAUGCCGCGUGUGUGAAGAAGGCCUUCGGGUUGUAAAGCACUUUCAGUGGGGAAGAAAGCCUUUUGGCUAAUACCCUCGAGGAAGGACAUCACCCACAGAAGAAGCACCGGCUAACUCCGUGCCAGCAGCCGCGGUAAUACGGAGGGUGCGAGCGUUAAUCGGAAUUACUGGGCGUAAAGCGCGCGUAGGCGGUCUGAUAAGCCGGUUGUGAAAGCCCCGGGCUCAACCUGGGAACGGCAUCCGGAACUGUCAGGCUAGAGUGCAGGAGAGGAAGGUAGAAUUCCCGGUGUAGCGGUGAAAUGCGUAGAGAUCGGGAGGAAUACCAGUGGCGAAGGCGGCCUUCUGGACUGACACUGACGCUGAGGUGCGAAAGCGUGGGUAGCAAACAGGAUUAGAUACCCGGGUAGUC
RNAcentral lists this ribosomal RNA (465 nucleotides) under Vreelandella stevensii. Its description in RNAcentral is "partial 16S ribosomal RNA". It matches the Rfam family "Bacterial small subunit ribosomal RNA", at positions 338 to 795 of the family's 1533-position model. Lineage: Bacteria; Pseudomonadati; Pseudomonadota; Gammaproteobacteria; Oceanospirillales; Halomonadaceae. The record is from RNAcentral.